AGUGAACGCUGGCGGUAGGCCUAACACAUGCAAGUCGAACGGCAGCACAGUAAGAGCUUGCUCUUACGGGUGGCGAGUGGCGGACGGGUGAGGAAUACAUCGGAAUCUACUUUUUCGUGGGGGAUAACGUAGGCAAACUUACGCUAAUACCGCAUACGACCUACGGGUGAAAGCAGGGGAUCUUCGGACCUUGCGCGAUUGAAUGAGCCGAUGUCGGAUUAGCUAGUUGGCGGGGUAAAGGCCCACCAAGGCGACGAUCCGUAGCUGGUCUGAGAGGAUGAUCAGCCACACUGGAACUGAGACACGGUCCAGACUCCUACGGGAGGCAGCAGUGGGGAGUAUUGGACAAUGGGCGCAAGCCUGAUCCAGCCAUACCGCGUGGGUGAAGAAGGCCUUCGGGUUGUAAAGCCCUUUUGUUGGGAAAGAAAAGCAGCAGGUUAAUACCCCGCUGUUCUGACGGUACCCAAAGAAUAAGCUCCGGCUAACUUCGUG
Molecule: ribosomal RNA, 492 nt
Filed under: uncultured bacterium
Lineage: Bacteria
Description: partial 16S ribosomal RNA
Rfam family: Bacterial small subunit ribosomal RNA
Source: RNAcentral